CCCAUCCUCCUGUCUCCUGCUGUGUCCACACUGGAUCCCCCGCUGACGUCCUGGGGGCUAGGAUCUCAUCCCCCCGCUGAUCCACUAGUCUCCUGAGCGCCCCUCCCUGAACCUCAUCCCUGUCUUCACCCCUGUGCCUGGUCCCUGCAAGGGUUAAACCUGUCUUGCCCUGUCAUCUGCAUCCCCCCUGCCACCUGCAGGGGCGCUAGCGCCGAGCUGUCUGCCUGCAUCCCCUCUCCAGCAGCACCACCAGGGGCAGACUCACCGGGGCGCUGAUUGUCUGGUCCCCCACUGCCAUGCUGUCCAGCCGCCUCCUCUGCCGGGCCGGAUCCGGAUUCCUAGUGUGUUCUCCCACCCACGGACUGGCGACAAGGCACCCUCCGCGUUGCAGGCCUCCGCGCCUGACCAGCGCCCGACCGGCGCCCGACCGGUGCGCUCUCACUCUGUCUAUCUGCCUGGGCAUCCCUUCCUGAUCCGCCCGACGAUGGACUCUGGCACCUCAGCGCCGUAGUUGCUGCUCCUGGGCUGAGCCGUUGGGGAGGUCGUGCCCUUCUCCUCGGCCUCUUCUCCAUCACCGUGGGUGGGGAGCAGACAUGCUCGGGACCCUCAAUUGGUCCUGCAGCCAAGACAUCCCCUUCUCCUCCACCAUUCUUCAGACACCAGCCAGGAUCUCAUCAGCAGAAGCCAUACCUUAAAGAGAAAGAACAAACCACACAGACCUGCUACAAGUAACAAGUAAGUUACGAUGGCCACUUCACUAAAAUGGCCAUUAUUUAAACCACUACUCUCCUCCCCUCAAACUAAAUAUCAAUUUUUUCCACACCCCUUGACUCUAACUUCACCUGCCCACUCUCUGGCCCUGUCAAGGCCCACUCCCCCACUGCGUUGUUCCAUGGGCUUCAAGAAGAGGGGUUGGAAGACAGAGACCACGCCAUUCUCUUUCCUCUGCUAUUUUUCCUGCUAUGCAAUUCAUCUUUCAUCAAUGAGGAAAGAAGAUCUGUAUAGUAAAGGAUAGCUUCUUCCCGGGAACUAAACUUUUUUUAUUUUUUUAUUUUUUAUUCUUUAUUUUCUUUUAUACAAAAUAUAACAAACAAACAUCCGCUCUCUCGAGCAUAAUGCAUG
This is a non-coding RNA of Pelobates cultripes (western spadefoot toad), 1122 nucleotides long. The record is from the annotation of a GenBank genome assembly. Lineage: Eukaryota; Metazoa; Chordata; Amphibia; Anura; Pelobatidae.